AGGCAAUAACAGGUCUGUGAUGCCCUUAGAUGUUUUGGGCCGCACGCGCGCUACACUGAUCAAGUCAACGAGUUUACAACCUUGGCCGGAAGGUCUGGGUAAUCUUUUGAAACUUGAUCGUGCUGGGGAUAGUCCAUUGCAAUUAUUGGACUUCAACGAGGAAUUCCUAGUAAGCGUGAGUCAUCAGCUCGCGUUGAUUACGUCCCUGCCCUUUGUACACACCGCCCGUCGCUACUACCGAUUGAAUGGCUUAGUGAGGCUUUCGGAUUGGACUUUGGCAGCUGGCAACAGCAGCUAAGGACUA
This 304-nucleotide ribosomal RNA is filed under the name uncultured fungus. Its description in RNAcentral is "SSU rRNA". It matches the Rfam family "Eukaryotic small subunit ribosomal RNA", at positions 1448 to 1749 of the family's 1831-position model. Lineage: Eukaryota; Fungi. The record is from RNAcentral.